GAUGAAGAACGCAGCGAAAUGCGAUAAGUAAUGUGAAUUGCAGAAUUCAGUGAAUCAUCGAAUCUUUGAACGCACAUUGCGCCUGCCAGUACUCUGGCGGGCAUGCCUGUUCGAGCGUCAUUACAACCCUCAGGCCCCCGGGCCUGGCGUUGGGGAUCGGCGGAAGCCCCCUGCGGGCACAACGCCGUCCCCCAAAUACAGUGGCGGUCCCGCCGCAGCUUCCAUUGCGUAGUAGCUAACACCUCGCGACUGGAGAGCGGCGCGGCCACGCCGUAAAACACCCAACUUCUGAAUGUUGACCUCGAAUCAGGUAGGAAUACCCGCUGAACUUAAGCAUAUCAAUAAGCGGAGGA
This 353-nucleotide unclassified non-coding RNA is filed under the name soil metagenome. RNAcentral describes it as "partial contains 5.8S ribosomal RNA, internal transcribed spacer 2, and large subunit ribosomal RNA". The stretch from base 1 to 120 matches the Rfam family "5.8S ribosomal RNA", at positions 35 to 154 of the family's 154-position model. The record is from RNAcentral.